This is a long non-coding RNA of Vitis vinifera (wine grape), 8858 nucleotides long. RefSeq lists it as uncharacterized. NCBI's taxonomy places the organism in Eukaryota, Viridiplantae, Streptophyta, Magnoliopsida, Vitales, Vitaceae. The record is from RefSeq and is a predicted model, not a curated record. The transcript is spliced from 2 exons.
UGGGUCUCCGGGCUGAGAUGGUCCAAUUCCCCUGUCCACUCUUCAGAGAGUGAAAAACAAAAAGGGAAGAGAGAGAGGUGUGGGUAGACUUCUGCACGUUGGGUUUUACCGUCCUACCAUCAGCAGGAACACUAUAUUUGGAUUUCUCAUCACCAUCUCUCUGCUCCAUUUCUUCAAUCAGUGAAGUUUGGUUGAUUUCAUGGACUCUUGUUUAAGUAGCUGCUUUGGAAAUAGCUGAUCCAAGAGCCACUCAUCUCUUAUCAACUGAAAAUUGAACCCAUUAUUGGAGAAAGCUGAGUGUUGGCUUUGGGUGGGUUCUUGCCCCUUUUUUGGUCUUUAAUCUGAAAUGCUUAUUAGAGCUCCUUAUCUAAGCAAAAUUUGGUUUUAGGAACUAAAUUUGUUGAUAUCAUUGUUGAUAAAAUAGAGUUAUUUAUCUAUUUGGGUGGUUAAUUUCUCAAUUCAAGUAGUAUUUGGUUUGCAUACUACUAUUCCUUAUUUAAUUUUUUGUUGUUUUAUAUUUAGCAUGAGAAGAAUUGAGUUUCAAAAUAGGCUUAUAUAUGAUUAAUCAAAAUGCAUGACUAUUAUUGCUGUUGUUGUUGUGGUGAUGGUGGUGGAGGAGGAUAUAUUUAAUGGGUUUUUCUAUGGUAUAAAAAAAAACUACUACCUAAUCAAAAGUAGACACAUGGUUUUCUUUCUACUUUGUAAUGAUCUCAUUUCUUCACACACGUCAUAUUUCUUCAUCUUAAAUUACAUUUCUUAUAUUUGUUUGGCCAUAGGUUUCAUUUCUUUAUAUCUUUGUUAACAAUCUAGAUUUAGCCAUCAUCAGGGACUCAAAUUUCAAGUUCAAUAUGAUACCCUAUUGAUACUCUAGAAAUUUCAAAACCUAGUAUAUGAUUAGGAAGAAAUGCGAGUCUCAUUAUGUACAUGAGAAAGUGUGUUAAAAUUUUGAUUUAUUUCAAGUUCCAUGAGAUCCCUUAUCGGUAGGGGUUAUUUUGUAGAUUUUGAUGUUGAUGUUUUCUUGGUUCCUUUGUUGAAUAGAAAAUGCUUUAGGGAUGUCUUUGAAUAUUUUUAUGUCUCUGAAAUAGAGGUGGGAAACAUGCAGUAGAUCAAGGAAAUAUGAGACUAUUUCAAAACUCAUGUUUCCCAAGCAAAAGUUUUUUUUUUUUUUUGUGCUCUCUCUUUCUCUCUAUUUUUUUGUUAUUCCUUAUAAUAGUGGAUUGAUUUAUCUCAUAUAAGAAUGUAGGCAUUACUUAUUUAUUUAUUUUUUGAUAAGCAAGCAAAAAACAUGUUAGUAGCACCCAUCAAAAAGAGCACACUGGAAUACAUAGGCAAUUUCAUAAAUAUGGGACAACCAGAGACAAAAGUACAUAAAGGAAACCAAUAUACAAAAAGUAAUAACCCUUGCCUUAGAUAACACCUAAUCAAUCAAUUAAGUCUAUGGUAGACAUACAUGCAUCCUUUAAGCCCAUCCUUACCCACUCCAAAAACAAUCAUAAAAAGGAGUUUUGUUAUUUGACCCAUUUAUUCCAUAUCCUUGAAACACUUAUUAUUAUUAUUUUUAAACAGUCCAAAAAUACCUAAGGGAAUGACCUCCUAAGCUUUCUUUCUUUUCUUCCUCACAAAGGAUCCCUGCUAACUUUUAGAAGACCAUUUUAAUUGAAGUUGACAUCACCUAAUCUAAUAGGAUCAAGGAGAAAACUAGUUGCCACACAAUUUUUGUUUUUAUAUAAUGAAGCAAAAUGUGGUUUGUCAAUUCUUUUUCAUCUUUGUAGGAAAAAAAAAAAACAUCCAUUCACCAUGGUCCAACUUUUCUUGUUUCAUCUGAUCUAUGAUGACGAUCCUAGCAUAGAGAAUCUCACUUUUGUUGAAGCCCACAAAUUCAAAAUAGCAUUUUUUGGAAUGGAAUCUUAUCUCCCCGACAUAAAAAAUGAGUACAAAGAUUUUACUGAGGGAACUAAGAACAUUUCCCUCCACAUUUCUAACCAAUUUAUCCUAUCCUCACCAUUCUUGCUUAUAGCUUCAUUUGCAACCUUGAAAGAAAAUUGUCCAUUCUUUGAAGCUUCCAGUUAUGCAGCUAUCUUACAAACUAGGGGCUCCAACAUCCCCUCUCCCCUAAUUGCUCUCACAUAUGCAUUACCUAUGAGUCCUUUGAAGUGGCUAUAGUAAAAAGAGAGGAAAAAGAAUCACUUAGAGUUGAUUCACCAUACCAUAUAUGCUUUCAAAACUUUAUCCUAUUUUAGCCUCCCACUUUGAAACUAGUUCUUCUUUUAAUGAUAUCCCAUCCUUUCUUGAUUGCCUUCCAUAAGCCUACUUCAUAACCUUCCUUGCUCUUCUACCCUAAAUUUCUUUACUAUUACCCUUUUCCACAAAGCUGCCCUUUCUAUUGUGAACUUCGAACUCCAUUUGCCGAGUAGGACCUUAUUGAACAUAGACUCCUUAUACCAAGACCCUCACUUUUCUUCUCCAUGUAGAUAAUUGACCUAUUUACUAGAUGAGGUUUACUCUCUAAUGAUCCCCCUCAUUGAAAAUCUUUUUGAAUCUUCAUGAGCUUCGAGUUCACUCUUCUUGGAAUUAAUGAACAAGGAUAUUUUAUAAAUUUGUAGACUUGACAAAGCACACUCAAUUGUAGUGAGUCUCCUCCCUUUAGAAAGAUAUUGUCUCUUCCCAAUCACAAGUUGUCUUAGGAGUCUCUCUUCCACCACAUCCCACAUCAAAGUUGAUUUAUAAGAAACACUUAAGGGGAGUCCAAAAUAUGUGGCGGGAACAUUACUCCCUCUAGGCCAACACCAAACUAGUUAUUCCCCAUUCCUUACCCCUCCUAUUAGCAUGUUUUUUUUUUUCUAAAUUAGUUUUUCUCCCUCCCACCUUGAAACCUAAGAUGAAAUCCCUUUAACCAAAAACCUCCAUGACCAAGAUGAACAAAUUAGGGGAAAAAGGAUCUCUCUACCAACACAUUUAACUUCAAAAGAAGCCAAAGAGAAUCCAAUUUACAAGGACUAAGAAUCUAUUAAGACAAUUAUUUGGAAAGAAUUAUAACUAGUUGGAUAUGAUUCUAGCAUUUAUCAUAAUGACACAAGAAAUUAGCCUGGAAGUCACUAAUUUAGAUUACAUAUAUAACAAAAUUUACUAUCUUUUUUUUGGGUUUCUACUUUUUGAGCAUACAAAUGUUUUUGCUUUAACAACUCAUUUAUGGAGUUCACCAAGUUGAGUCUUUUACCACUUGUAAGAAUCCUCAUUGUUCAUUUAAAUUUUUUUCCUUUUUAAUUAUUGUUAAUAUUCUAAUCAUACGUUGUUGGUGAUAGAGGAAUGAUUGAUGUAGUAUCAACUACAGUAGGCGCAACAACAGUUGAGGUUUACAAAAAUGGAAGAAGCUUAUUAACUUCUGCCAAUUCAAAAAAUGCCUAUGUAAAAGAUUUGAAAAAAAACUAUAAAAAGUUAAUACAAGAAGCAAGAAAGCUCUGGGAACUAAGGGAUGCUAUAGAGAAUGAAAUAAGUAGACAUAAGAUAAGCCCAGUCACAAGAGAAUGGAUUGUUAAGGUUGAGAUGAUCAAAAGUGAAGUGGGAGAACUAGAAACUAAAUACAAUGAUGAAAGGAAGCAUCUGUGGAGGUUGGUUUGCAUUAGGACACAUUUAAAUCUUAGCAAAGACAUGGCAGAGAAGUGUAAGCAUAACAUGGGUGCUUUGUGAAAAGCCUCAAUACAACGUUUCUAGUGUUGGUUCCAAAGAGAGGAUGAGCUAAAGAAUUGAAAGAUUUUAGGCUGAUAAGUUUGGUGGGCAACCUAUAUAAGUUUUGGCUAAGGUGUUAGCUAAUAGGCUGAAGAAAAUGAUGGAAAAAGUGGUCUCAAAAUAUCAGAAUGCGUUUGUGGAAGGGAAAAAAAUUCUUAAUGCGGUACUUAUAGCUAAUGAGGUAAUUGACUCGAUGUUAAGAAGUAAUAGAGUAGGGGUGCUUUGUAAACUUGAUAUUGAAAAAGCUUAUGAUCAUGUAAGCUGGAAUUUUUGCUUGAGAUGUUAGGAGAAAUAGGUUUUGGACAAAGGAGGAUCAAUUGGAUUAGUUAAUGCAUCUCAACUCCAAGGUUCUUAGUGUUAGUGAACGGUACUCCCUUAAGGUUUUUUCAGAGCUCUAGGGGCUUAAGGCAAGGGGAUCUGGUAUCCCCAUACUUGUUUGUUCUAGCUAUAGAGAUGCUCAGUUGUCUUCUUGGAAGGGCAAGAGAGGGUGGCUUCUUGUCUGACUUCAAAGUGUUAGGGAGAAAUGGGGAGGGCUUGGAGAUUUCCUAUUUGUUGUUCAGAGAGGAUACUUUAGUUUUUUGUGAGGCCACGUCUUCCCAAGUGACUUAUUUGAGUUGGUUACUCAUGUGGUUUAAGACUAUUUCAGGUUUGAAAAUCAAUUUAGAUAAAAGUGAGCUUAUUCCGAUUGGGAGGGUGUCGAAUGUAAUGGAGUUGACUUCUAUAUUUGGUUGUAAAGUGGGUGUGCUCCCAACCACUUAUUUUGGGCUCCCUCUAGGAGCUGCCCAUAACUCGGUAGUGGUUUGGGAUGGGGUUGAAGAAAGGUUCAGAAAGAGAUUAGCAAUAUGGAAAAAGCAAUAUAUUUCUAAAGGGAGAAGACUAACACUAAUCAAGAGCACACUAGCUAGCCUUCCAAUCUAUUUUAUGUCUCUUUUUUGGAUGCCGAGGAGGGUUCGCUUAAGGUUGGAGAAGAUUCAAAGGGACUUUUGGUGGGGAGGUGGGGCUCUAGAGAAAAAGCCUCAUUUAGUGAAAUGGGAUAUUGUUUGUUUAAACAAAAGAAAAUGAGGCCUUGGAGUUAGACGUCUUAACUCUCUUAAUAAGGCUCUCUGCAAAUGGAUUUGGCGCUUUGCUAAGGAAAGGGAUGCCUUUUGGAGAGAAGUUAUUUGUGGUAAAUUUGGGGAAUUGGAAGGAAGUUGGUGCUCUAAGGAAGUGAGGGGCAGCUAUGGUGUUGGUCUAUGGAAGGCUAUAAGGCUUUAUGGGAGUUAGUCUCUUCCAUAACUCUCUUUGUAAUGGGCAAUGGAAGAAGGGUCAAGUUUUGGAGAGACAGAUGGUACGGGGAUGAACCUUUAUAUGUGUCGUUUCCCUCCUUGUUCACUUUAACUAGUUCAAAAAAGGCUUGGGUGGUGGAUUUGUGGGUGCACUCUUCUGAAGGGGGUGGAUGGAACCCAAGCUUCUCUAGACUUCUCAAUGAUUGGGAGAUUGAGACGGUGGAAUGCUUCUUGUCAAGGAUUCAAGACAAUGUGGUGGUUGAGGAGAGGGAGGAUGAGGUGUUUUGAGCGGUUACAAAGAGUGGAUCCUUUUCUGUUAAGUCCCUUAUUUCUAUCCUUGAGGAAGUAAGGGUAAGCCCUUUCCCUACUAGUAUUGUGUGGAAUGAUUGGGUCCCUCCUAAGGUUAGUUUUUUUUGCUUGGGAGGCAACAUGGGGGAAAGUUUUGACUUUAGACCAAUUGCAAAGGAGAGGAUGGUCUUUAGCCAAUAAAUGCUCCCUUUGUUAUGCUCAUGAGGAGUCAAUUGACCAUAUGCUCUUGCAUUGUGGGAAAGCAAGGCUGUGGGAGGUCUUGUUCUCUUUGUUCAGGGUGUGUUGGGUGAUUCAAGCUUCCGUUAGAGAGACCCUUUUAGGGUGGCAAGGCUCGUUCAUUGGAAGAAAGAGAAAGAAAGUGUGGAGUGCAACGCCUUUAUGCCUCUUUUAGACAAUUUGGAAGGAGAGAAAUAGAAGAUCUUUUGAGAAUAUGGAGCUUUAUGUUCAAAGGCUGAAGUUCUUGUUUUUGUGCAGUUUAUUAUCUUGGACAAACAUGUUUAUAGAACAUACUUCUAUGUCCUUUGUUGAUUUUAUUGAUUGGUUGGGGACAGAUUGAGGAAGGGAGUAUUUUUGUUUUUCCUUUCCUUUUUAGCGCUUUUAGGCAGCCGUUGUAUACACCGUGUGUACUUUGGUGCACCCCUUUUGACGUUCUUAUACAAAUUGCUCUUAUAAUAAUAAAAAAAAAUAAAAAAAUAAAAAGGUCUAUUGGAAGAGGGGAAUCUUAAAGGAGGAGUCCUGAUCGCGGAAUUUCCAGAACCUAUUAGGAAAAAUACAUGUGCUGAAACUAGAACGCAACUCAUCUCUACACUAAGUUGUAGAAGAUGUAGUGAGUUUUCUAGACGAUAAGCAAAUAAGAAUAAUAGGAAUCUGGGGAACAGUGGGAACAGGAAAAACCACCAUAAUGCAAAACUUGAACAAUCACAAAGAUGUUGCUACAAUGUUUGAUAUUGUCAUCUGGGUAACUGUCUCAAAGGAGUGGAGCUUAAAAGAGUUGCAAGGUGCAAUCAUGCAGCAACUAAAAUUGAAUAUGGAGAGCACUAUUGGCAUUGAGGAAUAUGCUUGGAGAAUUUCUGAAGAGUUGAAGGGAAAGAAGUGUUUGACUCUUAUGGAUGAAGUCUGUGACUUUAUAGAUCUACAUAAAGUAAUGGGUAUGACCACCAAGAAAGCAAGGUAGUGUUGGCGAGUAGGCUUCGUGAUAUCUGCAAGGACAUGGAUGCUGAUGAGCUAAUCAAUGUGAAACCAUUGUCAGAUUAUGAAGCUUUCAACAUGUUCAAGCAAAAAGUGGGCCAGUUCAUUCAUUGCCCAGGGAUUAAACCAGUAGCUGAGUUGGUGGUUAGAGUGUGGGGGAUUGCCGCUGCUGAUAGACAGAGUAGCAAGGACCUUUAGAAAGAAGGAGAAAAAUGUUUCCCUUUGGAGGGAUGGAUUGAAUAAUUUGCAAAGAUGGGAGAAUACCCAGGGCAUGGAUGAAGUGCUUGAAUUUUUGAGGUUUUGUUAUGAUAACUUAGAUAGUGACACAAAGAAAGUUUGGUUUUUUGUAUGGUGCGUUAUAUCCUGAAGAGUAUGAGAUUUAUAUAGAUUACUUGUUGGAAUGUUGGAGAGCUGAAGGUUUUAUUCUAGAUGCAGAUGAGUUUGUUCAUGAUAAAAAUGUGUUUAGAGAUGCACGUGACAAAGGGCAUGCGAUGUUGGAUGAUCUUAUCAACGUAUCAUUGUUAGAGAGUAGUGAGAAGAGGAAAUGCGUUAAGAUGAACAAAGUUCUUCGUGACAUGGCCCUUAAAAUAUCAUCACUAAUUGGAGAUUCCAAAUUUCUGGCAAAGCCAUGUGAGGGAUUAUAAGAGCCUCCAAAUCAUGAAGAAUGGAAACAGGCAAGGCGCAUCUCUUUGAUGGACAAUGAAUUGUGCUGCUUACCAGAAACUCUAGAUUGUUGUGAUCUGAUCUUUUAACAUUGUUGCUUCAAAUGAAUAAGAACUUGAGUACUAUUCCUGAGUUCUUUAAAUCUAUGAGCAGUUUUCAAGUUUUAGAUUUGCAUGGUACUGGUAUUGAAUCAUUGCCUUCAUCUUUAUCCAACUUGAUUUGUCUAUGAGGGCUCUAUCUGAAUUCUUGCAUCCAUUUGGUAGAACUCCCAACAGAGAUAGACGCACUUGUGCAGCUUGAGGUGCUUGAUAUUCGGGGGACUAAUAUCAGUUUACUUCAGAUUAGAAGUUUAGUAUGGUUGAAGUGCUUACGAAUAUCAUUAUCUAAUUUUGGCAUGGGAGGCCAUACUCAAAACCAAUUUGGAAAUGUUUCGAGGUUUGUUUCAUUGGAAGAGUUCAGUGUUGUCUUUGAUUCAUCUAAGAAAUGGUGAGACAAGAUUGUAGAGGCUACCUACCUCAACGGAGGUGGCUACCUUGAAAAGAUUGACUUCUCUUCAAUAUUGCUUCCCUAAAGUUGACUGGCUUGAGGUUUUUGUUACGACAAGCCCGGUGUGGAAGAAGGGUUCAUGUUUGACAUUUCAAUUUGCUGUUGGUGACCAUGACUCAACCUGCUUUCAAAUUCUUGAGUCCUUCGAUUAUCCAAGCUACAAUUUCCUGACAUUGGUGAAUAGUGAAGGAGUGAAUCUGGUAACCUCAAAAGUGCUGAUGGAAACUCAUGCAUUUGGAUUAAUUAACCACAAGGGAGUUUCAAGACUAUCAGAUUUUGGCAUUGAGAACAUGGAUAAUAUGUUGGGUUGUUUGAUUGAGAGAUGCAAUGAAAUUGAAACCAUCAUCAAUGGUAAUGGAAUAACAAAGGGCGUGCUAGAAUGGUUGGAAGAUUUAAGCAUAAACAAUGUCUUAAAAUUGGAAAGCAUUUGGCAGGGGCCUAUUCAUGCUAGGAGUUUGACUCAAUUAACGACCCUGACUUUAGUUAACUGUCCAGAAUUGAAGAAAAUAUUCUCUAAUGACAUGAUUCAGCAGCUUUCUAAACUACAACACUUGAGAGUUGAAGAAUGCGAUCAAAUUGAGGAGAUAAUUAUGGGAUCUAAGAACAUUGUACUAGAAUUCUAUUCACUUCCAAGGCUGAAGACACUAGUGCUCCUUGAUCUCCCAAAACUCAGAAGCAUUUGGGUUGAUGAAUCAUUGGAGUGGCCAUCUUUGCAGAGUAUUAAAAUUUCUAUGUGCGACAUGUUGAAGAGAUUGCCUUUCAACAUUGCCAAUGCAACCAAAUUGAGGCUCAUUGAAGGGCAACAGUCAUGGUAGGGAGCAUUGGUAUGGGAAGAUGAUGCCAUUAAACGACUGCAACCUCUUUGCAUUCUCAACUAGCUCGUGAUAUUCCAUUUUUUGUGCAGCUUCUCAUGUUGACUGGGGUGGUUGCUGCCUCAACCACUGGUUUGUUGUGUGUUGGACUCAAAAACUUUGGCAUGUACUUGUUUAAGACAUGCUAGUCUAUAUUGUAUUUCUAUAAGCUUUUCUAAUAUGGAUUGUACCUUUUUUUGGAAAAUAUUAUCUGCUUUGGAUUCGCUUUGCUUAUGGCUUACGACUUUGGAUUGUAAUGGUGUAAAAGGUGAUUGCAAUAUGGAUGCUGUAUUUUCAUGUAUUCUUGGAA